Mytilus californianus (California mussel) is the source of this 663-nucleotide long non-coding RNA. RefSeq lists it as uncharacterized. Lineage: Eukaryota; Metazoa; Mollusca; Bivalvia; Mytilida; Mytilidae. The transcript is spliced from 3 exons. The record is from RefSeq and is a predicted model, not a curated record.
GUGACAUAUUAACAACAUUUAUAUUGUUAUAGAAGAUAAGGUCCCAGGACGUGGAUGUUCCUGCAAAGCAAUAGCUAGACUAUCAAGUGUUGUAGUUUUGUUGCAUAUUUCUAUAGCAGCAAAAGACAACUAAUUGUUUGUAAAGCCUUUUGGAUUAAAGAUGUCCCCAAGACAAAUUUUAAUUCUGUUAAUUAUUGGAAUUUAUUGCAAAAUUUCACAGGAACAUGUUUUAAAGCGCAAACAAAUUAAGGUCAGGCAACCUCCAGUCGACUUUAUCAUCAUUGGUGUAUAUGACCAGUUGUGCAGUUACUACAAGCAGCUAUGUGACUGCGCAAGGAUUCGACAAUUUUGUGUUGAUCCAUCUUGCUGCGAGCCAUCACCAUUGGCUGUCAUGAGAAUGAUUGGCCAGAUGAUAGAGGAGGAUGACGACUGAUCUAUUUUUCAGAUUACCUGCUUUCUGUAGACGACAUACUUCAGUCACCUGCUUUAGGAAGUAGCCAUUCAUACUACAAUCACCUGCUUUAUGAAGUAGACAUACAUACUACCAUCACCUGCUUUAUGGAGUGGGCAUACAUACCACAACCGCCUGCAUUAUGUACAUAUCCAAUACACUCACUAUAUUUAUGUUAAAGUCAUAAUUAAAUAAAAUAUCUAUAUAUCUUA